Molecule: ribosomal RNA, 475 nt
Filed under: uncultured bacterium
Lineage: Bacteria
Description: bacterial SSU rRNA
Rfam family: Bacterial small subunit ribosomal RNA
Source: RNAcentral
GAUGAACGCUAGCGGCAGGCUUAAUACAUGCAAGUCAAGGGGGUAGCAAUACAACCGGCGCACGGGUGAGUAACGCGUACACAACAUACCAUAUACUGGAGUAUAGCUUUGGGAAACUGAAGGUAAUCCUCCAUAACAUUGCGAGAGGGCAUCUGAUUGCAAUUAAAGUUUCGGCGGUAUAUGAUUGGUGUGCGUUUGAUUAGCUAGUUGGUAGGGUAACGGCCUACCAAGGCGACGAUCAAUAGCUGGCGUGAGAGCGCGACCAGCCACACUGGAACUGAGACACGGUCCAGACUCCUACGGGAGGCAGCAGUAGGGAAUAUUGGACAAUGGAGGAAACUCUGAUCCAGCCAUGCCGCGUGAUAGAUGAAGGCCCUCUGGGUUGUAAAUAUCUUUUAUCUGGGAAGAAACACUCCUAUUCUUAGGAACUUGACGGUACCAGAGGAAUAAGCACCGGCUAACUCCGUGCCAGCAG